Photinus pyralis (common eastern firefly) is the source of this 1439-nucleotide RNA transcript. It is a transcript of the gene named protein doublesex-like, with no coding region annotated. The record is from RefSeq and is a predicted model, not a curated record. Lineage: Eukaryota; Metazoa; Arthropoda; Insecta; Coleoptera; Lampyridae. The transcript is spliced from 5 exons.
ACUUUGGCAUUGCAAGACUGACAGUUGAUUUCGCGUUUAAAAUAUCGCAAGUGUGGAAGUCAAGCGUCGUCGUCGCGUGAAACCGACGGUUGCCCUGCAAGCCUACUUUUAUAAUCUCGUUGCAUAGAGAAACUCUCAACCUGUUGCGCUUUCAAACGCGACGCCCGAUGCACACGCUUUUCGCGCUUUUGGCUGAUUUAUUGUAGUUUUCCGGUUCGCGUAACUUGCUCUCUUUUCCAUUUGCACAAACUAUCGAACGUCUAAUUUGAAAGUGAACAGUGCCCCCAAUUUUUUCUGUGAUAAGUGUAAUCUUUGAAGAGCAUGAAAUAGAACUUGCAAUUACAUAAUGUCGGAUAGUCAAGAUUACGAUGCAAAAAUGGAUCUAAACGCAUCCAGCACUUCUGCCUCCCCGCGAACGCCGCCAAAUUGCGCACGUUGCCGAAACCAUCGAAUGAAAAUUGCCUUGAAAGGUCAUAAAAGAUAUUGCAAAUAUCGUUCCUGUAAGUGCGAGAAGUGUCGCCUGACGUCGGAGAGGCAGCGAGUUAUGGCCAUGCAAACGGCACUACGAAGGGCACAAGCUCAGGACGAAGCCUUGAUGAGAACGCAUUCGGGUCCCAUUUUGGGCAUGCCAAAUAAAAGCCCAUCGCCCAUUCAGGUAAUGGAGCGAAGUCUCGAUUGCGACUCUUCGGCGUCCUCCCAAUGCUCUGGAAGCGGAGGCGUCGGUAUAUCUACUAUAAGAAAAACGACGUCUGUGGAAGCUACACCUUCGACCACCACUGGUCUCGUUGGCACCACCGUCGGGCAAAGCACGGAUCUCUUAGAAGACUGCCAAAAACUCCUAGAAAGGUUUAAAUAUCCAUGGGAAAUGAUGCCAUUAAUGUACGCAAUCCUAAAGGACGCCAGAGCGGAUUUGGAGGAGGCUUCGAGGCGUAUAGACGAAGGAAAACGGGUCGUAAACGAAUACUCGAGAAUGCACAACCUGAACAUGUACGACGGUGUUGAACUGCGAAAUUCUACACAUAACAAGAACCAAGAAAGAAGAUACUUCACCGAUUCAAAUUUCAAGUCUGUCAAUCUUCAGUUUAAAUGCAAUGUGUUGUUUUAAAGACAGUUUUCCAAAUAUCCAACUAUUUAUUUGUUUUAACAAUUACUCAAGAAUUAAUUUAUGCACAUUAGAGUUAUCGGUUUAAAACUAUACAAUAUUAUCGAAUGUGAAUCAAAGGACUUUAUCCACAAAUUACACUGCUAUAAAUUACCAAAUUAUAUCAAAAGAAGAGAUUGCACCAUGUAUUUUUGCUAAGAUCAGGUAGAGCGUCAGAAGUACUAUUGGAAUUCUGCAUUAAGUUAAAGGAUAAAUUUCAUUUCUCCUGGAAAAUGAUCUCAUUGGUGGAUGUAAUUCUCAAAUACGCAAGAGAUGACCAGGAUGAAGCAUGGAAGCA